This 493-nucleotide ribosomal RNA is filed under the name uncultured bacterium. RNAcentral describes it as "partial 16S ribosomal RNA". It matches the Rfam family "Bacterial small subunit ribosomal RNA", at positions 28 to 507 of the family's 1533-position model. The record is from RNAcentral.
GACGAACGCUGGCGGCGUGCCUAACACAUGCAAGUUGAGCGACGAACCAGGGCUUGCCCUGGGGCAAAGCAGCGAACGGGUGAGUAACACGUGGGUAACCUACCCCGAUAACCGGGACAACCCGAGGAAACUCGGGCUAAUACCGGAUGUGCUCACUGGACUUCGGUUCAGUGCGUAAAGGAAGCUUCGGCCUCCGUAUCGGGAGGGGCCCGCGGCCCAUUAGUUUGUUGGUGAGGUAACGGCUCACCAAGACCGCGAUGGGUAGCUGGUCUGAGAGGACGAUCAGACACACUGGGACUGAGACACGGCCCAGACUCCUACGGGAGGCAGCAGUGGGGAAUCUUGCGAAAUGCGCGAAAGCGUGACGCAGCAACGCCGCGUGGGGGAAGAAGGCCUUCGGGUUGUAAACCCCUUUCAGGAGGGACGAAGGUUCGGCGGUGAAUAGCCGUCCGGACUGACGGUACCUCCACAAGAAGCCCCGGCUAACUACGUG